GACGAACGCUGGCGGCGUGCUUAACACAUGCAAGUCGAACGGAAAGGCCCUGCUUUUGUGGGGUGCUCGAGUGGCGAACGGGUGAGUAACACGUGAGUAACCUGCCCUUGACUUUGGGAUAACUUCAGGAAACUGGGGCUAAUACCGGAUAGGAGCUCCUGCUGCAUGGUGGGGGUUGGAAAGUUUCGGCGGUUGGGGAUGGACUCGCGGCUUAUCAGCUUGUUGGUGGGGUAGGGGCUUACCAAGGCUUUGACGGGUAGCCGGCCUGAGAGGGUGACCGGCCACAUUGGGACUGAGAUACGGCCCAGACUCCUACGGGAGGCAGCAGUGGGGAAUAUUGCACAAUGGGCGGAAGCCUGAUGCAGCAACGCCGCGUGCGGGAUGACGGCCUUCGGGUUGUAAACCGCUUUCGCCUGUGACGAAGCUUGAGUGACGGUAAUGGGUAAAGAAGCACCGGCUAACUACGUG
Molecule: ribosomal RNA, 468 nt
Filed under: uncultured bacterium
Lineage: Bacteria
Description: partial 16S ribosomal RNA
Rfam family: Bacterial small subunit ribosomal RNA
Source: RNAcentral